This 391-nucleotide ribosomal RNA is filed under the name uncultured cyanobacterium. Its description in RNAcentral is "bacterial SSU rRNA". It matches the Rfam family "Bacterial small subunit ribosomal RNA", at positions 355 to 756 of the family's 1533-position model. The record is from RNAcentral. Lineage: Bacteria; Bacillati; Cyanobacteriota.
GGGGGAAUCUUCCGCAAUGGGCGAAAGCCUGACGGAGCAACGCCGCGUGAGGGAUGAAGGCCUCUGGGCUGUAAACCUCUUUUCUCAAGGAAGAAGAUCUGACGGUACUUGAGGAAUAAGCCACGGCUAAUUCCGUGCCAGCAGCCGCGGUAAUACGGGAGUGGCAAGCGUUAUCCGGAAUUAUUGGGCGUAAAGCGUCCGCAGGCGGCCUUGUAAGUCUGUCGUUAAAGCGUGGAGCUUAACUCCAUUUAGGCGGUGGAAACUACAAGGCUAGAGUGUGGUAGGGGCAGAGGGAAUUCCCGGUGUAGCGGUGAAAUGCGUAGAUAUCUGGGAAGAACACUCAGGUGGCGAAAGCGCUGCUGACUGGGCCAUAUACUGACACUGAUGACGA